Molecule: ribosomal RNA, 1082 nt
Filed under: Gyromitra esculenta
Lineage: Eukaryota; Fungi; Ascomycota; Pezizomycetes; Pezizales; Discinaceae
Description: LSU rRNA
Rfam family: Eukaryotic large subunit ribosomal RNA
Source: RNAcentral
GUACCCGCUGAACUUAAGCAUAUCAAUAAGCGGAGGAAAAGAAACCAACAGGGAUUGCCUCAGUAACGGCGAGUGAAGCGGCAACAGCUCAAAUUUUAAAGCUGGCGUCUUUGGCGUCCGCGUUGUAAUUUGGAGAGGCAUCUUCGGUUUGGGCGCCAGCCUAUGUUCCUUGGAACAGGACGUCACAGAGGGUGAGAAUCCCGUGCCUGGCUGGCUGUCCCUUUCCAUGUGAAGUGCCUUCGACGAGUCGAGUUGUUUGGGAAUGCAGCUCAAAAUGGGUGGUAAAUUUCAUCUAAAGCUAAAUAUUGGCGGGAGACCGAUAGCGCACAAGUAGAGUGAUCGAAAGAUGAAAAGCACUUUGAAAAUAGAGUUAAAAAGUACGUGAAAUUGUUGAAAGGGAAGCGCUUGAGACCAGACUCGGCCGGAGAUGAUCAGCCGUCCUUCUGGGCGGUGCACUCGUUUCCGGCCGGGCCAGCAUCGGUUGAGACGGCGGGAUAAAGGCCCGGGGAAUGUGGCUCCUUUCGGGGAGUGUUAUAGCCCCGGGCGCAAUGCCGCCAGCCUCGACCGAGGACCGCGCUUAAUUGCUAGGAUGCUGGCGUAAUGGUCUUCAGCGACCCGUCUUGAAACACGGACCAAGGAGUCUAAGAUCUAUGCGAGUGUUUGGGUGUCAAACCCUUGCGCGUAAUGAAAGUGAACGGAGGUGGGAACCCCUCGCGGGGCGCACCAUCAACCGGUCCUGAUGUCUUCGGAUGGAUCUGAGUAGGAGCAUAGCUGUUGGGACCCGAAAGAUGGUGAACUAUGCCUGAAUAGGGUGAAGCCAGAGGAAACUNUGGNGGAGGCUCGCAGCGGUUCUGACGUGCAAAUCGAUCGUCAAAUUUGGGUAUAGGGGCGAAAGACUAAUCGAACCAUCUAGUACCUGGUUCCUGCCGAAGUUUCCCUCAGGAUAGCAGUAACGAUCUCAGUUUUAUGAGGUAAAGCGAAUGAUUAGAGGCCUUGGGGUUGCAACAACCUUAACCUAUUCUCAAACUUUAAAUAUGUAAGAAGUCCUUGUUUCUUAGCUGAACGUGGACAUUUGAAUGUAC